GUACUAGGCGGGGAGCUAGUGGUGCCCUGUAACCCACAAGCCACUACAGUGGGGCUGAUGUGCUAGAGCGGGACAGACUUGGUUGUGUUGAGUAGCCGUAUAUCAUGCUGAAAUCAGGGUCUUAUACAAUAUUGCCCUACGAACCAUGUCAGGGUCGGAAGACAGCAGCAUUAAGCAGGAUACAGUAUGUGCUGUAAGGUUGCUUUGAUGGAGU
This 214-nucleotide signal recognition particle RNA is filed under the name chicken gut metagenome. Its description in RNAcentral is "Bacterial large signal recognition particle RNA". It matches the Rfam family "Bacterial large signal recognition particle RNA", at positions 3 to 213 of the family's 256-position model. From Rfam's summary of the family: The signal recognition particle (SRP) is a universally conserved ribonucleoprotein involved in the co-translational targeting of proteins to membranes. Archaeal SRP consists of a 7S RNA and homologues of the eukaryotic SRP19 and SRP54 proteins. In most bacteria, the SRP consists of a 4.5S RNA and the Ffh protein (a homologue of the eukaryotic SRP54 protein). The record is from RNAcentral.